UACGUAUGGUGCAAGCGUUGUCCGGAAUUACUGGGCGUAAAGAGUUCGUAGGCGGUCAAAUAAGUCAGGAGUGAAAGGCUACGGCUCAACCGUAGUGAGCUUUUGAAACUGUUUGACUUGAGUACUGGAGAGGAAAGUGGAAUUCCUAGUGUAGCGGUGAAAUGCGUAGAUAUUAGGAGGAACACCAGUGGCGAAGGCGGCUUUCUGGACAGUAACUGACGCUGAGGAACGAAAGCGUGGGGAGCAAACAGG
Molecule: ribosomal RNA, 252 nt
Filed under: uncultured bacterium
Lineage: Bacteria
Description: partial 16S ribosomal RNA
Rfam family: Bacterial small subunit ribosomal RNA
Source: RNAcentral